RNAcentral lists this transfer RNA (60 nucleotides) under Caladium bicolor. RNAcentral describes it as "tRNA-Val". It matches the Rfam family "tRNA". Rfam says of the family: Transfer RNA (tRNA) molecules are approximately 80 nucleotides in length. Lineage: Eukaryota; Viridiplantae; Streptophyta; Magnoliopsida; Alismatales; Araceae. The record is from RNAcentral.
AGGGCUAUAGCUCAGUUGGUAGAGCACCUCGUGUCUACGGUUCGAGUCCGUAUAGCCCUA